This 66-nucleotide transfer RNA is filed under the name Taenia crassiceps. RNAcentral's name for it is "tRNA-Asp". The record is from RNAcentral. Lineage: Eukaryota; Metazoa; Platyhelminthes; Cestoda; Cyclophyllidea; Taeniidae.
GUAAUUUUAGUUUAAUUAAAAUGAUGAUUUGUCUAGUCAUUGAUAGUUUGGUGUGACUAAAUUACU